GUCAGGUCAUAUCUUGGCAAGAGUUGAUUCUCUGGAUGAAGGCUACAAGGGCCAGGCUGGAAGUCUACCAUCAGAUAUUUAUUGGGCACCUCCUAAGUACAAGACACUGAGCCAGAUACCAAGAAGACGCUGAAUCUGAAGAGCUUGGGUUAAGGAGUUGUUGCCAUGAAGGGCGGC
Molecule: long non-coding RNA, 177 nt
Organism: Vombatus ursinus (common wombat)
Lineage: Eukaryota; Metazoa; Chordata; Mammalia; Diprotodontia; Vombatidae
Exons: 3
Source: RefSeq, a predicted model, not a curated record